UUUUCCUGCAAUGCGGAGCAAAUCAUAUGCUCCCCUGGUAUUUCGGAUUUUCAUGGGGAUAAACAUUCGCGUUUUAUUUGUCCUACUGCUUUUGUUAUUGGGAGUUGUUUUUUAUAUUGGAGCUAGUACAUCGCCAAUUAUUGUGUUCGUCUUUUGUGUCUGCAUCAUCAGUUUGUUCUUCUCCAUUUAUCUCACAAAGUGGGUUCUUGCAAAAGAUG
Molecule: unclassified non-coding RNA, 218 nt
Filed under: Hevea brasiliensis (rubber tree)
Lineage: Eukaryota; Viridiplantae; Streptophyta; Magnoliopsida; Malpighiales; Euphorbiaceae
Source: RNAcentral